Molecule: ribosomal RNA, 253 nt
Filed under: uncultured bacterium
Lineage: Bacteria
Description: partial 16S ribosomal RNA
Rfam family: Bacterial small subunit ribosomal RNA
Source: RNAcentral
UACGAAGGGGGCUAGCGUUGUUCGGAUUUACUGGGCGUAAAGCGCACGUAGGCGGACUAUUAAGUCAGGGGUGAAAUCCCGGGGCUCAACCCCGGAACUGCCUUUGAUACUGGUAGUCUUGAGUUCGAGAGAGGUGAGUGGAAUUCCGAGUGUAGAGGUGAAAUUCGUAGAUAUUCGGAGGAACACCAGUGGCGAAGGCGGCUCACUGGUCCAUUACUGACGCUGAGGUGCGAAAGCGUGGGGAGCAAACAGG